This 394-nucleotide ribosomal RNA is filed under the name Alcaligenes faecalis. RNAcentral's name for it is "bacterial SSU rRNA". It matches the Rfam family "Bacterial small subunit ribosomal RNA", at positions 994 to 1392 of the family's 1533-position model. The record is from RNAcentral. Lineage: Bacteria; Pseudomonadati; Pseudomonadota; Betaproteobacteria; Burkholderiales; Alcaligenaceae.
GAAUCUGAAGAGAUUCGGAAGUGCUCGCAAGAGAACCGGAACACAGGUGCUGCAUGGCUGUCGUCAGCUCGUGUCGUGAGAUGUUGGGUUAAGUCCCGCAACGAGCGCAACCCUUGUCAUUAGUUGCUACGAAAGGGCACUCUAAUGAGACUGCCGGUGACAAACCGGAGGAAGGUGGGGAUGACGUCAAGUCCUCAUGGCCCUUAUGGGUAGGGCUUCACACGUCAUACAAUGGUCGGGACAGAGGGUCGCCAACCCGCGAGGGGGAGCCAAUCCCANAAACCCGAUCGUAGUCCGGAUCGCAAUCUGCAACUCGACUGCGUGAAGUCNGAAUCGCUAGUUAUCGCGGAUCAGCAUGUCGCGGUGAAUACNUUCCCGGGUCUUGUACACACCG